RNAcentral lists this ribosomal RNA (440 nucleotides) under uncultured bacterium. RNAcentral's name for it is "partial 16S ribosomal RNA". It matches the Rfam family "Bacterial small subunit ribosomal RNA", at positions 338 to 795 of the family's 1533-position model. The record is from RNAcentral.
CCUACGGGAGGCAGCAGUGGGGAAUAUUGCACAAUGGGGGAAACCCUGAUGCAGCGACGCCGCGUGAGUGAAGACGUAUUUCGGUACGUAAAGCUCUAUCAGCAGGGAAGAAAAUGACGGUACCUGACUCAUAAGCCCCGGCGAAAUACGUGCCAGCAGCCGCGGUCAUACGUCGGGGGCAAGAGUUUUCCGGAUUUACUGGGUGUAAAGGGAGCGUAGACGGCAGCGCAAGUCUGGAGUGAAAGCCCAGGGCUUAACCGUGGAACUGCGGUGGAAACUGUGCAGCUUGAGUGCAGGAGAGGUAAGCGGAAUUCCUGGUGUAGCGGUGAAAUGCUUAGAUAUCACGAAGAACACCGGUGGCGAAGGCAGCUUACUGGACUGUAACUGACGUUGAGGCUCGAAAGCGUGGGUAGCAAACAGGAUUAGAUACCCCGGUAGUC